This is a long non-coding RNA of Mustela erminea (ermine), 358 nucleotides long. RefSeq lists it as uncharacterized. The record is from RefSeq and is a predicted model, not a curated record. The transcript has 4 exons. NCBI's taxonomy places the organism in Eukaryota, Metazoa, Chordata, Mammalia, Carnivora, Mustelidae.
UAUCUCUAAUAAUCAAGUAGAAAUUUUUUUGUAAUUAAGCUAUUUUGAUCUAUUAGUUCAAACAAAUUGGCUGUUCAAGAAGUAAUUUGGGACGCCUGCUUGGCUCAAGAUCAUGAUUCAGGCUGAGGAUAUUUAAACCGAACAGUUCAAGUAUGAUAUCAUAUCAAGUAUGAUAGUCACAGAGUUGGACUGAAUCACAGUUUUUGAAGAUUAUGGUACUUCUUGAAGCCAUCAGGAGGAAGCUUUCGUAUUAAGUUCCACUGAAGUGACCUGAAAUAAAUGUUGACCACUGUGGGAUAAACACUUGGAGAUGCUUGACGGGCAAAAAGGACUCGGUUACAACAGCACCAUACAGUAG